CCUACGGGGCGCACCAGUGGGGAAUAUUGCACAAUGGGCGCAAGCCUGAUGCAGCCAUGCCGCGUGUAUGAAGAAGGCCUUAGGGUUGUAAGGUACUCUCAGUUGGGAGGAAGGCGUUGAUGCUAAUAUCAUCAGCGAUUGACGUUACCAACAGAAGAAGCACCGGCUAACUCCGUGCCAGCAGCCGCGGUAAUACGGAGGGUGCAAGCGUUAAUCGGGAUUACUGGGCGUAAAGCGCACGCAGGCGGUUGAUUAAGUUAGAUGUGAAAUCCCCGGGCUUAACCUGGGAAUGGCAUCUAAGACUGGUCAGCUAGAGUCUUGUAGAGGGGGGUAGAAUUCCAUGUGUAGCGGUGAAAUGCGUAGAGAUGUGGAGGAAUACCGGUGGCGAAGGCAGCCCCCUGGACAAAGACUGACGCUCAGGUGCGAGAGCGUGGGGAGCAAGCAGGAUUAGAUACCCCCGUAGUC
This 465-nucleotide ribosomal RNA is filed under the name uncultured bacterium. RNAcentral describes it as "bacterial SSU rRNA". It matches the Rfam family "Bacterial small subunit ribosomal RNA", at positions 338 to 795 of the family's 1533-position model. The record is from RNAcentral.